Molecule: non-coding RNA, 7905 nt
Organism: Rattus norvegicus (Norway rat)
Lineage: Eukaryota; Metazoa; Chordata; Mammalia; Rodentia; Muridae
Source: RefSeq, a predicted model, not a curated record
GAUAGUCGUAGCUCAUUGUCCGAGACGACUACAGGUACCACCAAAACUCAACCGCUGAAAAUGGCGCCCAGGACCGGAAGCGGGCGCACAUUACCCUCAGCUUUGCUUCCGGCGCCCAGCGCGAGAGGGCGGGCCGUUGAGUGUCACAAGCAGACAUUUCCGGUGACGUCACGAACGGCGCCAGAAAGUGUGACCUGCGGUGAAGUUUUUUGUCCGCGUUCUGGUCGGAAGCUUAGGUCCCCUGUGGGAUCCGGUCUUUGGGACGGCAUGGGUUUUCACCCAGCUUGAGAAAAUGUGGAAAUUUGAGUGAAUUUUAACUACUUUGUUAAAACCUAGAAUUUGUUUGCAAGGUCAUGGAUAGUAAGAACAUAGCAAACAAAAGAAUCGACCAUUGUGUACUCUCCUCAAAGACCAAAGAAGUUCGUAUUUCUUAGAAACCGCCUGGCACCUCUUUCACUCAAAUCAGUAUAUACACCGAAAUGUCUUCUUUAAAGAGGCUUUAAUACUGGGACUGGAGAGAUGGCUCAGCUGUUAAGAGCACUGACUGCUCUUCCUAGGGGUCCUGAGUGCAAUUCCUAGCAACCACAUAGUGACUCACAACCAUCCGUAAUCAAAUCCCAUACCUUCCUUUGGUGUUUGUGAAGACUGCUACAGUGCACUCAUAUACAUAAAAAAAAUCUUAAAAUUUAUCUAUCUAUCAUCUAUUUAUUUAUUUAUUAUGGGAACUUGGGUGUCAGCUCAGUUGAUAAGAGUACUUGCAUGGCAUGAUUUCAAUCCCAAACAGUAUAAAUGGUAUUGUUCUGCAGGCCUGUAAUCUCAGCAAACAGCAGAUGGAAGCAGAGGAAACAGAAUGUCAUCCUUAGCUGUAUAAUGAAUUUGAGGCCAGCAUAGGUUAUCUGUGUCUAAUCUGGAGGUUUCUCAGAAAAUUGGAAAUGGUUCUACCUGAAGACCCAGCUAUACCACUCUUGGGCAUAUACCCAAAAGAUGCAGAUACCACAAGGACACAUGCUCCAUUAUGUUCAUACCAGCCUUAUUUGUAAUUGUCAGAAGCUGGAAACAGCCCAGAUGUCCCUCAACUGAAGAAUGAAUACAGAAAAUGUUGUUCAUUUACUCAAUGGAAUACUAUUCAGCUAUUAAAAAUGAAGACAUCAUGAAUUUUGCAUGCAAAUGGAUGGAACUAGAAAAUAUCAUCCUGAGCAUCGAAAUAACCCAGACCCAAAUGGACAUGCAUGGCUUUGUUUAACAACUGGAUCUCUUCCUGGUAGCCAUCCCUGUCUUGAUGCUGCCGCCUGCUGUUCUGUCUGUGUGCCUCCACUGUGUCUGGGAUAGAGAUGUUGAUAUCUCCGUCAGGAUCACUUGUGGGGAACCUCGAAUGCUCACUUCAGGGAUCUACACUCCAGUGGGCCAAGAAUCUUGAAAUCUUGUGCUGUAAAGUUCGGUUUUGCUACCCAUGGAGGCAAGUAACUUCAUCAACUUUACAAGUAUUGGUCAAAGCAGAAAAGGAAUCAGGACACAAUUUGGUUCUAUUACUCUAUCAGAACAUUAUUUUAAUAGUGGUGGUUUUAGAAAAGGGGGAAAGGCCUUUAUCUACCUCUUCGGUAAACAUUUGGUAAGUGCCUACACUGUACAAGAAUCAAGCCACAUUAAGAGUGUAGGGACACACUCUUCAUUCAACGAUCUUUCAAGUAUUUAAGCUUAGGUGCAAAGAAAUGAAUAUUUCACUCUAAAUAUUGUUAUUGACUUAGUAACCAAGGUCUCUGGGGUCCAAGGAGUAACUACUUAUGCUAGGGAUAGUUUAUGUAGGAGUGGCAUGUCAGAUUAAUCUCCAAAGUUAAGGAAGAUUUAUAUCAUUAAAAGGCCUUCUUAUUCCUAAUGUAAAAUGCCAUGAGAUUCAGGCAGACUGGCUUUGCAUGUACACAUUGUUUUCUAGAUGAAGACAAAGAUACUGUGUUGUGUUACAUCAAAGCUAGGGUGCACCCACUCUGUGCAGUAACAUCAAUAUUAUUGCUAUCAUGCUUGGUAUCAAACAGAGUAAUCUGAGGGCAGGGGUGGGCUUGGAAAAUCAUGAGUUAAAAGGCCACCCUGAAAAUCUCCUUAUCUUGAGUAAAAAAGUUUUUUUGUUUUAAAACAAAGACAGAGAUUUCUGAUUUUUUUUACUACAAAGUCUACCUCAGCAUUAUCCAGUCAGAAAAUCUGAUUGUUGGGGCUGGGGAGAUGUCUCAGUCAAAGUUUUGUUGUGCAGGCAUGAUAAACUGACUUCUGACCCCCAGCAGUCAAGGGGAAAGCCUUUGUAGUCUCAUCCAUCUGUAACCUUAGCACUGGGCUCAUUGGAAUCUAACUAAAAUGGUGAGCUUAAGUGAAAGACCCUGUCUCAAGCCAACGAAGUUGGAGAGCAAUUGAGGAAGAUAUCUCAAAGCCAGUCUCUGUCUUCCAACACCCCUGCAUGGGUGAGCAUGCCCCAUGCACAACCACACAGAUAAAUGCUCACAUAUAGAGGUGCAUACACGAAAGAAAUUCUGAAUGUUGUCUCAUAAUGUAAGAUGACCUCCUUUUUUUCUGUUCCAAGAAAUUGCUCAUCUGAAAGCUGAAUUACCUUACAUUAUGAUUUGUUAUAAAAAAAAAAGGCCUACUUUAUUACUUCAAUAAAUCACUCCUCGGGGUAAUUCUUUGGCAUUUUAUAUUGUACAAACAAACUGCUUUGUAAUAUACAAGUUUAAAACAAAAAAGCCAUGAAAAAACUGAGUUAUCAAACAAAUUAAAAGGAUACAGACAUGCCUAUCUAAAGAAACAUUUAGCUGUGUCUCCAUGUGCAACAAGAGUACUGCUGAGAGCAGUUCAUAUCAAGAAGAUGAGAGGCCAGGACCUGGCAGGUAAAACCAUUAGCCAUGCAAGCCUGUGACCUGUGUUUGGUGCCUAGAACCCACAUAGUGGAAGGAGAAAGCACUCCUCCUAUAAGUCCUUCUCUGACCUCCACACACAAGCCAUGUCAUUAGCACAUGCCACCCAACUUCCAAAGUUAAUACAUAAAAAGUAAACAAUAAAGGGGACUGAAGAGAUGGUGCACAGCUAAGACCACUUGUUGCUUUCCAAGAAGACUCAGGUUUGACUUCAGGUUUUCACAGGGAGGCUCAAAAGUGCCUGUAACUGCAGUUCCAGGGGCUCUGACGGCCUUUUCUGGCCUCUAUAGGCAUAGGGCAUAUACAUGGUGUGUAUUCAUGCAUGCAAUAAAACACUUAUACACACAAAGUAAAAAUAAAUCUUUAAAAAUGUUUAAAAUGAAUGAGAUUGGAUGUCUUCAUGAUCUGAUUGACAGAUCCACAUAUUGAGUUAGAGGAUGAUAGCUCAUUCAGAUUAGCAUUUGAGAACUAGAUAUUACCAAAGUCUGGAUAAGUAUGAAGACUGAUUUUUCUGCAAUAGCAUUCAAAGUACUGGGUUAUUAAACUAACUUUCUGAACAUUCCUAUUCAAAUGGAUACUCUAUGUUUGAGAGCUAAGGAAACAAAAGCAGAGAUAAGAACAAACAAAAUCGGGAUGCGGUGCAUGCAAAGAACGUGGAUAAGGUUUCUGAAAAGAAGUUGAACAGGUGGCUAGGACAUACAUGGCAAGAUGCUCAGCUUUACUUAUGCAGGAACUCAUGCAAAUUAGAACUCAAACGCCGAGGUCCUACUAUGAAAAUACAGAGAACUACAUUACUGAGGACAAUGUAUAGCAACUUAGAACCUAUUGUUUGUGGGAAAGUAAAACGAUGCAGAUGUUGUAGAAAACAGAAUAAUGCUUCCAAAAAUAAAAAAACUAGAAUUAUUGUAUAUUAAGUAUAUCCAUAUAGCCAAGCAGUGAUCAUUUAAAUAUGACUAAGGUGGUAUAUUUUACAUGUUCUUUAUAGAUACUGUUUAAAAAUCAGGCUUACCUUGGCAACAUAACUUUCCUGCCUGUGCAUCCCUCUAACUAGGUUUAGAGAUAUAAAUAAGCCCCUGGAUUAUUUGUACAACUAUAUUUUAUUUGUAGAUCUUUAAGUAAAACCAUAAAAAUCUGUCAUCAUUUAUAGAAUUAUUUGUCCCCUUUAAGCAGGACUUGUAUAUUUAGGUUAGGGAGCACCAUUGCAGGCUAUAGAAAAUGGAAUCAUGAAUAAAAAGAACUAUGAUAUUGAAAGAUACAAGAGAGGAGCUGACAGACUCAGUAAAACAACCAGGAUUUUCUACUGUUAUUGAUAGAAUAGAGAACAUGGACUGAGUCAUUAUUAUGAGUGAAGGGUAGCAUUCCUGAUGAACAACAGCAGAGUAAAGAUGCCCUCAUGCGUUAAGAGCCCACAAACCACAGAGCUUUUCAACCUUCUAAACAACCCUAGUUGAAGGGGGCAGUUCUGAUGCUAAGGUUCUGUUCCCUAAUUGGUUCUUUUUUUUUUAAAGAUUUUAUUUAUUUACUUUAUGUAUGUGAGUACACUGUAGCUGUCUUCAGACACCAGAACAGGGCAUCAAUCCCAUUACAGAUGGUUGUGAGCCAACAUGUGGUUGCUGGGAUUUGAACUCAGGACCUCUGGAAGAGCAGUCAGUGCUCUUAACUGCUGAGCCAUCUCUCCAGCCCCCCUAAUUGCUUCUGGGCAGAAAGUAUGGGCAGGACUUCCUGGUCCCAGAAGGAAAAGGCAGACACAAGGGAGGAGAGAAGUUUUGCCAUACUUUGGAAGAAGAAUACAGCAACCACAUGAGGUCUGGCAUGUGAAAGGAACCAGGGGAGCUGGGGCCUGUGGCCAGUACUACAGGCUGGUAGCCAGGGAUGUUUGACAGGGUCUAGGUGGAAAUAAGCACUGAAGUUUUGGGAGGCUGGGAGAAGUGGAUAUAAAAAUAUUAUUAAGGGCAUGCUUUUCCAGGUGGGAAAUAGCAGCAUCCAACAAUUGUGGCAUAAGGCAAGUUGUGUAUGUGUGUGUGUUUGCCUUGUCCAUGGAUUCAAGGGAAGCCAGGUAGGGGAUAGUAGUGGCCCAGCCCGAAGCAAAGGUGGUAGAGUAAAACAACAUAGAACACUCAGUCCAUUGAAGAUGCAAUGCUAUGCUCAGGGCUGUCAUAGGAAAGUUAGCCUAGGUUCAAGCAAGAGAAAGAGAGACUCGAGAACCUUCCCAAAGCACGAUUCCAUCCUCAAAGAUGGUGGAAAUCCAUGGCAUUGAUGAUACCUAGCACUGCUCUAAAGUCCUAGCUGGGCCACAAUCCAGAAAGCAAGGAAUAAGAAACACAGGCACCAAGCAUGAAGAAACAAGGAUACACAACUGGUGGCUGCACAUGUCUUCUACCUAGAAAUUCUAGAGAAAAGGAAAAUCUGAGACAGAACUAAUGACAGACUCUAGGGGGGUGUUGGAUUGUAAGUAAAACUAAGAGUCCGGUGGCUGUUGCCAAUCAAAACAUGUUUUGAAAAGGCUCCAUUCAGAGUCUGGAGAAAUGGUUGAGUGUUUAAAGGCCAUUUGCUGUUCUAUAGAGGACCUAGGUUUGGUUCCCAACAUCGUAAUGUCUCACAACUCUAUAUAAUUCAAGUUCUAGGGAAUCAGAUCUAAUACCCUCUUCUGGCCUCCACAGGCAUUGGCAGACACACAAAGCAUACAUCAGGAAAAACUCUCAGACACAUACAUUUUUACAAACAAUCUUUAAAAUAAAGAGGAUCUGAUUCCAAACAACAGUACUGUUGUGAAACCUGCCAAGACAACACUGCAAUAAUAAAAAUCAAUAAUAAAAAUAAUAAUAAAAUAACAAAAGACAAGAGAGACAAUAUUAUAUUUUGAGAACAUGUAUUACAAAUCUGAUGAUAAUGACUUAAUAUAUAUCUAAAACGAAAAGCCAAAUGAAAUUCUCCUUUGUGUUGUGAAAAAAUGUAUAAACCGCGAAAAAGCAAGAAAAUAAAUGUGCAAACAUACUAGUGGUGACAUUCUAGCUAUUAAAGGACAGCCAAGAAACAAAGUAGAGUAUAUGAUAGAGAUGCUAUUUCAGAAUAAAUGGAGUAGCUGCACAUGGUGGCCAAGGCCUGUAGUCUCAGAACUUAGAAAGUAGAGGAAAGAAGAUCAUGAAUCUAGACCAGUCCUCCUCACAAACCAAGUCCCUGCUCAAAACAACUAUGGAAUAGCAAGGAGAAUAGCAGGAUGUGUUGUUUUUAUAUUAAAAAAUUAAAACAAAUAAAAAACAAAAUAGUAUUACUGUCCAGUAUAUGUUUCUGUAUUUUGAGAGGUAUUAGUUAAAAGUGCAUGAAAAGAUCUCUCAAUUUUUCUUUUUAUAAAACUAAAAUGUAUGGAACUUAGUUAGACACCAACUUUACUGCACAAUCAGAAUAAUCUAUUUAAAUAACCUGGAACUAUUCAUUUCAUACUCUGUGCUUUCUUACCAUUUUAAAGUGAGAGAAUUAGCAUUUGCCUGGGAGUAAUGAUAACCGUUACUGCAGUACACUCAGGAGUGUGGGUGGCUGGGAGAUUUUUUUUUUUUUUUGUAAUUUGGAAAUGAAAAGCAUUUCUGAACCUCACAAAUACUUCAGAAGAAGAGAGCCUGCCAUGUAAACACAUUAGCACAAAUAAUCUUCUGUGAUAAUUGAUUCAAACUUGCUGACCUUGGCUACACUGAAUGCCUUUUCUUUUUUCACAAUAAGCUGCUGGGUGAAUUCAGGGUGAAAUUAUAAUAUAAAAAGAGUCUCUCUACAUGAUUAUCUGAACAAGGUGAAGCUUUCUCUUGCUUGUCUGAAUUACUCAACUUAAGUAAGGCAAAUUACUGCAGGAAAGAUCAUCACUUUAUCCAAGGCCACAGUUGGUCAUAGGUUCUCUGAAUCAGAAGUUGGAAAGUAUCAUUGACUCAUGAAUAAUCCAAAUGAUGGGCAAAUUUAAUAUUUAAAAAAAUCUAAUUUUGAUUAUUUUAAGAGACUUUUGGCUUUUAAAGGUAUAUACAUUGAGGAUUGUAAGUCAAGCAGACUUAGAACAGUUUAGGGAAGCUGCAAUAGAUAUACCAGAAAGGAAACAAAAAACAGACACAAAAACUCAUGAGAAAAGUAAAUUAAAAAAAAAUUGCUCUGAGUAAACUCAGUAAUUAUUAAGGUUACAUAGGUCACAUUCCCAGCUCCUCAAAUCUUCUAUCCCACCAUGUCCUCUGUGUAUGAUUAGCAAACCAAAAUGUGAUGACUCACAAGAACUGAUCAAAGUAAGAAAAAGUGGGGAAGAAAUUAAAGACCUUUCAUAAAAGACUUUUCCAGACUGGAAAGAUGGCUCAGUGGUUAAUAGCACUGAUUGCUCUUCCAGAGGUCCUGAGUUCAAAUCCUUGCAACUACAUGGUGGCUCACAACCAUCUAUAACAAGACCUGAUGACCUCUUCUGGUAUGUCUGAAGAUAGCUACAGUGUACUUAUAAUUAAUAAAUGAAUGAAUGAAUGAAUGAAUAAUUUGUCUUUUUAAAGACUUUUCCAUGUAGAAGAUUUUUCCAUGUAAAGAUAUGUGGCAAAGACUACCCUCCCAGACCUCAGGCCUGUUGUGCCUAUGCCUGUUUUUCUUAUUUUAAUUUGGUGUGUGUGUGUGUGUGUGUGUGUGUGUGUGUGUGUGUGUGUGACAAUCAGGAGAUGGACCUUCCCCAAUUGCUUUUCUAUCUAUCUAUCUAUCUAUCUAUCUAUCUAUCUAUCUAUCUAUCUAUCUAUCUAUCUCUACCUAUUUUUGAGACAGGACUGAGACUUCCCUGUUUUGGCUGCCCACAGGAAUCAUAGCCUAGAGCACUGGGGAUUAUGAAUGCUACUUUUUGAGUAGCUUCUGGGUCUUCAUACUCAGGUUUCAGGCUUCCACUGAUCUGUCUCCAUAGCCCAUGCCUCUUUUCAUGGUGAAAAUCUAACGAUAAAGACUGGUGCUCACCAUGACAAAUACUUACUGACCACGCUGACCAUGAGCCACAUGCUAUAUAAUUGCUGGU